GCGCAAGCCAGAGCCGUGGCUCGACAUGCAGCCGGCGUCCUGAUCCGUGGAUCAGAUCCGCUGCUUUCCGGUAACGGCGGUAGGGGCUGCAGUAAAUGAGCGUGGUGGGUCGUUCGGGGCAGCUGUCUCCUACCUCCAGACCCAGGUUCAUCCAUUGUUGGGACUUGGGAGCGGCGACCCGGCGACAAGGCGACUGGGUGCUGAGGCAAGCAUGGAGUUCUUGAUGCAGCCGAUAAAUAGAUAUGAUUUUCCCAACUCUGGAAGCAGCAGAACUCUCUGCUAGAAGAGGUGAACGGAAACAACAUCACAAUGGAUCCUCUUCAUUACCCUGUGAGGACGCCGCCGGUGAUAGAGCUGCCGGCCAGGACCGCGUCCAGUGCUGACGGCCAGAUUUGUGUUGUAAACGCUGUUCCAGGUGCAGGCAGUGCUGACAGAUCACAAACUUCAGAGCCCUCCAUCGAGCAGGGUGCUAGUUGGGGCUGCUGUGCUUGGCAGACCCCCGUGUGCUGAUAGGGUUUCAGCACUAGAGAAUUCUGUCCGGCGAUUAGCCCAAGAACAUAGUGACAUUAUCAUUGUGCCUAAGAUAGGAGCAAGUUUUGACACACUGGGUGAGGCUUAUGAUUUCUACAACUUAUAUUCGUGGGAGAAAGGGUUCGACAUCAGAUAUGGAAAGAGCAGGCUGAAUGUAAACUGAAGAAAAUGCAUGGGAAAUCAAUAGUUGAAAAUACACGCUCUUUGUCGGUGUGAAUGCCCUGGCUUGAUAAGAUUGUUGCGUUCAAAGGACAAUGGGUGGUACAUUGCGGAGCAUCGAGAUGAACACAAUCAUUCAUUAUCUCUGACCUAUGGACAGACAAUACACUGGCCAUUGCCCAAGCAUAUCGACGUGUGCAACAGAUAUCUUGUGCAGCAAUUGCGGCAGAACAACGACAAUCUCGCGAUGGUCUACAGUAUAAUUGGGAGCUUCUUUGGUAGGAUGAAGAAUGUACCUUUCACGAAAAGAGCACUGUGUAAUCUGUGUGGUAACAUUAGUCAAUGAUGUCAGAAAAACAAUGGAGGUGUUUUAGGAGCUUUGCUCAAAGGAUCCACAAUUCACCUACCGAGUUCAGGCUGACAAAGAAGGAAGGAUCGGGACUCUAAUGGGCUACUGGAAACAGCAGAUUGCAUUAUUUCUUUUUUGGAGAUGUUGUGAGAUUUGAUACGACAUACAGGACCAAUAAGUACGACAUGCAAUUUGGUCUAUUCUUUAGUGUUAACAAUCGUUUCCAGAGCAUUAUACUAGCUAGGGUGCUCGUUCGUGACGAGAAGGUUGAAACAUUUCAGUGGGUUUUUGCAGAACUCAUUACGAUAAUGGGUGGGACUGCACCGCAAACCAUCCUUACAGAUCAAAAUCGGUCGAUGGAAGCAGCGAUACAAAAUGUGAUGCCGGACACAACUCACCAGUGCUGGGAGUGGAGGACGAGGAGAUGGAGAGGCCUACCACAAGUAGGGAGAAGGCAGUUUACUAAGGUUGUGUAAACGAACCAGAUUCUGCAGCAUUUGUUGGUGACAAGGGCACAAGCCAACAAUUUGUCCUGAUCGCGGCGAUGUACCAAAACAACCUCGGAAGCCGGCGAGUUGUAAGAAUUGUGGCGUUGAAGGUCACCAUCGGAACAAUUGUCAUAAGGCGGCUGAGCUGAGACUGAAGUAAGUAUGUGCACUUACAGAGAAGGCGAAGUCAUGAAUUUGUGGUCUAUUUGUAUAAUUAGAAUUUGUAGCCUGUAUGUUGGUCGUCUUUGUAUAAAAUAAUUUGCUUCAGAUCAUGCUUCCCUGGGACAGAUUAUAGGCUUCAAUGGAAGUUCUGUCAGAGUUGUUGAAGUUUCUUUUAUUUCUGAAUUAGAUAUGUUUACUGUUA
Molecule: non-coding RNA, 1891 nt
Organism: Aegilops tauschii subsp. strangulata
Lineage: Eukaryota; Viridiplantae; Streptophyta; Magnoliopsida; Poales; Poaceae
Source: RefSeq, a predicted model, not a curated record